GCCCCGGUGGUGUAGUGGACUAUCAUGUGAGCCUGUCGAGCUUACGACUCGGGUUCGAAUCCCGACCGGGGCG
RNAcentral lists this transfer RNA (73 nucleotides) under Candidatus Altarchaeales archaeon. RNAcentral's name for it is "Candidatus Altiarchaeales archaeon tRNA-Asp". It matches the Rfam family "tRNA". From Rfam's summary of the family: Transfer RNA (tRNA) molecules are approximately 80 nucleotides in length. Their secondary structure includes four short double-helical elements and three loops (D, anti-codon, and T loops). The record is from RNAcentral. Lineage: Archaea; Nanobdellati; Candidatus Altarchaeota; Candidatus Altarchaeia; Candidatus Altarchaeales.